Molecule: ribosomal RNA, 472 nt
Filed under: uncultured bacterium
Lineage: Bacteria
Description: bacterial SSU rRNA
Rfam family: Bacterial small subunit ribosomal RNA
Source: RNAcentral
UCGGGAAUUUUGGGCAAUGGGGGAAACCCUGACCCAGCAACGCCGCGUGUGUGAAGAAGGCCUUCGGGUUGUAAAGCACUUUUAUCAGGAACGAAAAGCGUGGGGUUAAUACCUUUACGUGCUGACGGUACCUGAGGAAUAAGCACCGGCUAACUUCGUGCCAGCAGCCGCGGUAAUACGAAGGGUGCAAGCGUUAAUCGGAAUUACUGGGCGUAAAGCGUGCGUAGAUGGUUUGUUAAGUCGGAUGUGAAAGCCCCGGGCUCAACCUGGGAACUGCAUCCGAUACUGGCAGACUAGAGUGUGGUAGAGGAUGGCGGAAUUCCCGGUGUAGCGGUGAAAUGCGUAGAGAUCGGGAGGAACAUCCGUGGCGAAGGCGGCCAUCUGGACCAACACUGACGUUGAGGCACGAAAGCGUGGGGAGCAAACAGGAUUAGAUACCCUGGUAGUCCCUGAGCGGGCUGGCAAGGCGCAU